Biomphalaria glabrata is the source of this 2038-nucleotide long non-coding RNA. RefSeq lists it as uncharacterized. NCBI's taxonomy places the organism in Eukaryota, Metazoa, Mollusca, Gastropoda, Planorbidae. The transcript has 3 exons. The record is from RefSeq and is a predicted model, not a curated record.
UAUGUAAAUGCCCAUUUUUAAGUUUGUAAAAUAAUAAUUUGUUUUUAUAAAAAAUCUGGCUAUGCCUGUAGUACUCUUAACAAAAUUAUGACUAAAAAUAUUAUGAACGUCGAGUCGCUAGAUUCAUCAUCUAUGUGUGUCUGAUAAACCCAGAGAAUCAGAAUGAAGAUAUAGAAUCUAUAUAGGCCCCCUAUUAUAUAGAAUCUAGCUCUAGUUGACUCUAGACUAGAUCUAAGAUAAUUUCAAGUCUAGAUGAUCAGCUUCAUCUUACCUUGAUCAUGAUGAUUAAUUUUAAUCUGACUUCCUGACUUGUUAACAGUUAACUUAAACUAAAAAAAGUUAAACUUCGUCUUACUUAGCCCUUAGCUUCUUCAUAUGUGAAUCAUGAAUGGAAGUGCUUGGCUCACAGUGUCACAGAUCGUUCUUUAAACUAUUUGAAGAUCUACUUUAUCUUUACUAACGACUCUAAUCUAUAUCUAGUUUAUAUCUAUAUUUUAUAUGAUAAUAAUAGACCUAGACUCUUAUACUUUUAAUAAAGUUAUAAGAUCUAGAAUCUGUAUCUAGAUCUAUUCCCAUUUAUACACUGAUAAUACACUACAAAUUUAAUGUUUCUAAAGUACACAAAGGAUGUUGAAAGGUACCCAAAGGGCUCUAAUUGCUACCAUUCAAUGUGUGGAAUCAAGUAUUUACCCAGAUACUGCCACAAUAUGUUCUUAUUAUUUUCAAAGGAGUUUUCACACAGUGCCAGAACUUCUGGCAGAAGCUGUAUAAAUACAUUUAACAAUGUAUAUUUCAAGAAGAAAUGAUGCUUUCUUAUUUCUAAGAGUUUAUCAAUAGAAUGAAUGCCACAAAACUCACUUGUUAUGCCAGAAACUCUUCCUACGAAACUUCCAUACUAGAAUUUGUCCAGUGCCUGUGAUCCUCUGAGUUGAAGGAGAAUGUGCUCCAUAAUACCUACUAGGAGCUUGCUGAUAGCUGGAAGUUCAUGAAUACUAUGUUGUCCUUGAUUUGAUGAUUCUGAAAACUACCAUUUCUGAAGACUUGAGCAUUAUUUCUAUAAUUUAAAAAAAUCUUUUCAGGAAAUAUUGUGUUUAUAAUAUUAAGAAAGUGAAGAUAAUAUUGUUCUUACUAAUAUUAUUAACUUAUUAAAAUAGAAAGCACAUCAUUACCAAUAUUCACUUGUCAAUAAAUGUUAGCAUUAUUCAAUUUUUAGUUGCAUGUUCAGACUAUUAAAUUUUAUUAUUUAAAUUAUAGCAACUUUCUCUUUCAGUCAAGCUUAAGAUACAUUCCUGUAAAAAGUCUAUAAUAAUAAGUUAAUGUCGAUGUAGUAUUGUUCAGACACUUACAAGUUUAAUCAUCUAUACUUCACAAAAAAAAAAGUGUUUGAAUGGUUUUCAUUUGUUUGUACAUCAAAUAUGUAUUAAUAUAAUUAUCAUUUUAAGAUGAAACAUUAAAUACUGAAGAUGACCAUUUCAAUUUCUGAUGUAGGCCUAUUCUCAUUUCAUCAAAUAAACAGAAUAUUAUCUGAAAUUUCAUCCCUUCAUGGUAACUGUAACUGGCUUCAUAAACAAAUGGAGUGAUGACUGGGUUGACUAUACAUUUUUGUAUAAAUAAUGCAUCAAUGAAUGUAGCUUAGAUUGUUCUUUUCCUCAUCUUGAAAUGUGUGGACUGAUAAUUAGCUGUUGCAUGAUACUCUAAAUGACAAAUAUCUUCUACUCAUUACAAUAGCACAUUUCCAUGCUGUUUGGCUAAGUGGAAGCAGAUAAAAUUUGUUCCUCUAUUAGCUGUAAAAUCUCGAAAUUCAUGAGCAGCUGAGAAGAAAAGAAAUUCAAACUAGUUUAGACAUGUUAUAAAUAUAUAUAUAUUUGCUAAUUAAAAAAUGUAAGACUACUUUAUGUUACAACAAUGGACAGCAUCUUUAAAGUUGAUUUCAAUGCAAUCACAAGAAAUAAUUUUUUCUCUACAAUUAGGCCUGCUUUAAUGAUUUUUUUUUAAUGUAAAUAAAUUUUAUGCAUAGGAUUAAAUAUAACAUGUACUU